AUCUAAAUAGUUUAAGUUAAAAUAUUGGCUUGUGGAGCUAAAGAUGUAAAGAUACAUUAGAUA
RNAcentral lists this transfer RNA (63 nucleotides) under Morimospasma tuberculatum. RNAcentral's name for it is "tRNA-His". It matches the Rfam family "tRNA". From Rfam's summary of the family: Transfer RNA (tRNA) molecules are approximately 80 nucleotides in length. Their secondary structure includes four short double-helical elements and three loops (D, anti-codon, and T loops). The record is from RNAcentral. RNAcentral also lists the same sequence under 1 other name. Lineage: Eukaryota; Metazoa; Arthropoda; Insecta; Coleoptera; Cerambycidae.